RNAcentral lists this ribosomal RNA (832 nucleotides) under Zavarzinia aquatilis. RNAcentral's name for it is "bacterial LSU rRNA". It matches the Rfam family "Bacterial large subunit ribosomal RNA", at positions 1 to 885 of the family's 2925-position model. Lineage: Bacteria; Pseudomonadati; Pseudomonadota; Alphaproteobacteria; Rhodospirillales; Zavarziniaceae. The record is from RNAcentral.
GAUCGAGCGCGAAAAGGGCAUCUGGUGGAUGCCUUGGCACUGAGAGGCGAUGAAGGACGUAGCACGUUGCGAUAAGCUUCGGGGAGCCGCGAGCAGGCUUUGAUCCGAGGAUUUCCGAAUGGGGAAACCCACCGCGCAAGCGGUAUCGUAUGGUGAAUACAUAGCCAUGCGAAGCGAACCCGGCGAACUGAAACAUCUAAGUAGCCGGAGGAAAGGACAUCAACCGAGACUCCGUUAGUAGUGGCGAGCGAACACGGACCAGGCCAGUGGUGUGAUGAUUAGAACCAGAACGGUCUGGAAAGGCCGGCCAUAGUGGGUGAUAGCCCCGUAUGGGUAGAAGGUCAUCACAUCCUUGAGUAGGGCGGGACACGUGAAAUCCUGUCUGAAAUUGGGGGGACCACCCUCCAAGCCUAAGUACUCCUCAGUGACCGAUAGUGAACCAGUACCGUGAGGGAAAGGUGAAAAGCACCCCGACAAGGGGAGUGAAACAGUUCCUGAAACCGGAUGCCUACAAGCAGUUGGAGCUCAAGGUUCGUCCUGGGUGACAGCGUACCUUUUGUAUAAUGGGUCAGCGAGUUGGUCUUACGAGCAAGCUUAAGCCGUUAGGUGUAGGCGCAGCGAAAGCGAGUCUGAAUAGGGCGCUAAGUUCGUAGGAUCAGACCCGAAACCGGGUGAUCUAUCCAUGGCCAGGUUGAAGAUGCAGUAACAUGCAUUGGAGGACCGAACCCACGCCUGUUGAAAAAGUCGGGGAUGAGCUGUGGAUAGGGGUGAAAGGCCAAUCAAACUCGGAGAUAGCUGGUUCUCCGCGAAAUCUAUUUAGGUAGAGCGUCGG